Molecule: ribosomal RNA, 482 nt
Filed under: uncultured bacterium
Lineage: Bacteria
Description: partial 16S ribosomal RNA
Rfam family: Bacterial small subunit ribosomal RNA
Source: RNAcentral
GACGAACGCUGGCGGCGUGCUUAACACAUGCAAGUCGAACGAUGAAGAAGAGAAACGCGAACUUCGGUUCAAAUUUCACUUCGGAUUAGUGGCAGACGGGUGAGUAACGCGUGAGCAACCUACCUCUUACAAAGGGAUAGCCUCGGGAAACCGUGAUUAAUACCAUAUGACACAUUCAUAAGGCAUCUUAAGAAUGUUAAAGCUACGGCGGUAAGAGAUGGGCUCGCGUCCCAUUAGCUAGUUGGUGAGGUAACGGCCCACCAAGGCGACGAUGGGUAACCGGCCUGAGAGGGUGAACGGUCACAUUGGAACUGAGACACGGUCCAAACUCCUACGGGAGGCAGCAGUGGGGAAUAUUGCACAAUGGAGGGAACUCUGAUGCAGCGACGCCGCGUGAGCGAUGAAGGAAUUCGUUUCGUAAAGCUCUGUUCUAUGGGAAGAAAAGGACUGUACCAUAGGAGAAAGCUCCGGCUAAAUACGUG